This 215-nucleotide ribosomal RNA is filed under the name uncultured bacterium. Its description in RNAcentral is "partial 16S ribosomal RNA". It matches the Rfam family "Bacterial small subunit ribosomal RNA", at positions 1285 to 1500 of the family's 1533-position model. The record is from RNAcentral.
GUCCCAGUUCAGAUCGCAGUCUGCAACCCGACUGCGUGAAGUCGGAAUCGCUAGUAAUCGCGGAUCAGCAUGCCGCGGUGAAUACGUUCCCGGGCCUUGUACACACCGCCCGUCACACCAUGAGAGUCGGGAACACCCGAAGUCCGUAGCCUAACCGCAAGGGGGCGCGGCCGAAGGUGGGUUCGAUAAUUGGGGUGAAGUCGUAACAAGGUAUC